CUUUUUAGAAUUUCACCGAAUUUGAUUUGAUCGGAGCUGAAAAUUGAAGUGAUCGGCGGAAAAUCCUAUAUAUAGCCAAUCGAACAAAAAGUGUACUGAAAUUACAUAAAUAAAUAUAAAGGGAAAAGUGAGAAAAGAUACAAAAGAGGCGAAGAAGAGAAAGAAAACGCGUAGAGAGAAAGGAAAGAGUAGUAGUAGUAGUAGUAAUGGCUUUACACUGAGAGAGUCGACUCUAU
RNAcentral lists this long non-coding RNA (236 nucleotides) under Nicotiana benthamiana. RNAcentral's name for it is "long non-coding RNA (NBEN_LNC036275)". Lineage: Eukaryota; Viridiplantae; Streptophyta; Magnoliopsida; Solanales; Solanaceae. The record is from RNAcentral.